Long non-coding RNA from Taeniopygia guttata (zebra finch), 1582 nucleotides. Lineage: Eukaryota; Metazoa; Chordata; Aves; Passeriformes; Estrildidae. The record is from Ensembl.
CAAAAAGUAGCGUUCAAUAUUAAAAUAACCUUAGGAAUUCACUUCCCAACAAUGUAGAUUGGUAAGGUUCUUUGAGAUAAAGACAUGAAAAUUAAAAAAAGGAAGUCCGAAAACUCAGUUGCUAUAUUACAUAGAAAUCAUAGAUUAAGAUAUAUGGAUUUUAAAAGUCCGACUGUGCAUGCAUUUUCCUGAAUAAACCUGAAUAAAAUAUUAAGGCCUUUAAGACAUGUGAUUCACUGAAAUGCUCAGAUUUAUUCCUUUACUAUUUUCCACAUAAAACCAAUUUGGAAAAUGUUAAAUUUAGUUAAGUAACAUUUAUAUUAAAAUGCAUUACUAGCCUCAUCUUGUUAAAAAAUUGUCACACCACUUUAGACUGCUGGAAUCCUCUCAUUUAGAGAAACGUAUCCUGGUGAGGUAUAUGUAAGCUGCUGUUUGGAAAUCCAAGUAGCAAAGCAUGAGCUGACAUCAGCACAGACAAUUAAGAAUCACAACAGAAGGGUGGAGUUGUUUGUUUUUCUUAUGCAAGAAGAAAACUUGCAUAAGAAAUCUCCUUUUGUUUGUUUCUUAUUUUCUUAGGUAUUGUUUGUCCUUCUCGCUCUCUAAAUAGCUACCUGCAGAUGUUGGUUACAGCCUCUGCUAUUGCCAACAAAGAAGAAAAUAUAUUUGGAAUAUCUGUAGUGGAUUGUGGUGGAAUAGAGUAAUGCAAAUAGAAAUUCAAAGGUUAAGUAACCUGCUUGUGGUAUUAAGGCAGAAUUUUUUGUUGGAGGGAGAAUAGGAAGAAGGAGUAGGAAUGGAGAGGAGCUGAAGAGGCUUUUUGCCUAUUGAAGGACUGAGCCUGUGCUCAGGGUGUGAAUGAAAUAUAAUGUUACUGUGCUGGUAACAGCAGAGAUAGAAUGAGCUAACAUCUGUUUUUAGAUUGAAGUACCUUUAAACCAAGCUUAGGACACAGAUCUGUUCAAUCAGAAUUAUUAUUUUUUAUAGGAGAACUGUGCUGCAUUUUCUCUCUUUAAUUCUGGAAAGCUGCAGUUGGGAUUUGUUAGGGUCAUUUUAAGUUCUGCUCUCAGAACCUACCUUUUUUCCUGUACCAAAUUAGAAGCAGUGAAACUACUUUUAAGUGAGUCACAAUGACUUAAAAUUGAGCAGAAUGUUUCUUCCAUAAAUUCAACACUGGCAGUCUAGCUGUGUAUCUCAGUAUUAUUUGAGACUAAUUUUGAAAGCAUUUUUGCUUGUUUUCAUGUAUAUAUGCUGGGUUAUGAUAGCCUCUCUCUUGAUAGCUAUUAUAUCAUGCAUAUAUUGUCAGCAGUCUCUGCAACUGAGAUCUCUGAUGACAAACAGCAGGGAUUUCUCUCAUGCUUAUAUGUCUUAGUAGUAUAAUUACAUGGAGUAGAAUUCAGCUUUAAAUUAAGAACCCCAGAACUGCCUUUGCUAUGUUUUCACUCUCACAAAUAUUCCACGGAACCAUGCCUAGCAUACAUGUUACUGAAACUUCAGUAAUGGUUGUGGCAGAAUUGGAGGUACAUGGUGAAGGACAAUUGUUUAAGGAUGUUGUAACAUUGCAGGCAGAAUUUUUCAUAAAUUAUUU